GAUGAACGCUGGCGGCGUGCUUAACACAUGCAAGUCGAACGGUGAAGCCCAGCUUUCUGGGGGUAUUAGAGUCGAACACGGGAGUAACACACGUGAAACCUGUCCCCAAGACUGUGGUAUGACUGCUAGAAACGGUGUCUAAUCGGGUAUAAGCGUCCCCCGCGCGUGGGGUGGUGGAGAGAUUUACCGGUGUUGGGUGGGCGCGCGGGCUAUCUGAUUGUGUGGGAGGUAUUGGCUCACCAAGGCGCCGACGGGUAGCCGGCCUGUGAGGGUGACCGGCCACACUGGGACUGAGACACGGCCCAGACUCCUACGGGAGGCAGCAGUGGGGAAUAUUGCACAAUGGGCGCAAGCCUGAUGCAGCGACGCCGCGUGAGGGAUGACGGCCUUCGGGUUGUAAACCUCUUUCAGUAGGGAAGAAGCGAAAGUGACGGUACCUGCAGAAGAAGCACCGGCUAACUACGUG
RNAcentral lists this ribosomal RNA (466 nucleotides) under uncultured bacterium. RNAcentral's name for it is "partial 16S ribosomal RNA". It matches the Rfam family "Bacterial small subunit ribosomal RNA", at positions 28 to 507 of the family's 1533-position model. The record is from RNAcentral.